AUUGAAUUUCGUUCGGUUAACAAUUGGUUUUGAGAAAGAAAAAAAAAACUAAAAGAAUCACGCGAUGGAGAAUUUGGAGAGAUAUGCGUCGAUAAAAAUUGGCAUGAAUUGGAAAGGGGUUUACCCACAGAAUCGCCCUCACUCGCUCAACGCGCUCUUUCUGCGAGUGGGUACGAAAUAGAGCCUUCUGAUUGGCUUAAAAACUAAAAAAAAAGUGCAAUAGUAUAGUUGUUGCUAGCUAUGUUAUUAUUUGCUUUUCGUCUUCUUCUCUAAUUUUACGCAAAAACUAGAUUCACGCUUUUAGAUUUGGACUGGUGAG
Molecule: small RNA, 319 nt
Filed under: Arabidopsis thaliana (thale cress)
Lineage: Eukaryota; Viridiplantae; Streptophyta; Magnoliopsida; Brassicales; Brassicaceae
Description: ATSL235000
Source: RNAcentral